UUUGUUACAGAGCCCAGGCCGACUAAAACAAUUCCCGUGCUCGCUGGAGAAUCAGCAGGUGCAUUUGCGUCUUAAAAACACCUUCAGUGGCACCAGCUUCCCCCCACGGCACCGGUUCUCGUCACUCUCCGAGGCUGCCCUCACCUUCGCAGGCCGUGAAUUGUUAAGAGAAUUUAGCCACAAACCAGGCAAGAAUCUUUCCCACGUGUCAGCAGCCAGAAGGCUUUGUAGAUAAUAUUCUUCUUUAAAAUUCAGUAAUUAUGUAUCUAGUUGCUACCAACCAGAGAGAAAAAUAUGCAUAUUAAAAAGUCCAUAAUUACAUAAUAAGCACUUACUGUCAAUUGCAUUCUGCUGCCGUGUACUCUCUGUCCCCUUUAUCUUAAAAAAAUUCAAAAACAAUUACCACAAACACUAAAAUAAAUCAAGCACCAAGUGUCAGGUUAAUGCAAAAUUAGGGGUUUACUUUGAGCACAUAGAUAAGUUUUAAUUCAGAUGCCAUCAGUUCUAACCACAUGGGAUCUGUGGCCCUGCCAGGAUCACUGGAGAGCUGGAAGUACCUUGGAAGGGCUGAAUGGCAAAGGACUCAGGAGGACACCCGAGGAAUCACUUGCUUGGAUUGGAAGCUGCCAGAGUGUCAGAGCUGAGGGUUGCUAUCCUGAGGAGGCCAGGACCUCAAGUGAAGAUGAUAAAGGAAGCGGGAGAGGAGGAGCUGGGUGUGAGAAAGCGGAGACCCGUGGGAGGGACAAUGGAGUCCCAAACUGGACGGAGACCUGGAGAGCAGCGGGGAGCCCCCCAUGGCCACCAUCAAUACAGAAAUACAGACAGCAACCAGCACCUCUGUAAGUGGGAUGAACAGGUCUUAAAUUCCACUGGGGCCUCCACUCGGAACCCCGGGUCUGCUGGCUGGAUGAGCGAGAUCACAGCAUGGGGACUGGGCUCCCCCAAGGGCAGUGUGCAGGUGAUAUUUCCAUUGCUGGCCUGGUGACCACACGGAGCUUCUGCGACAUGGCGCUGGGCUGGAGAGUCCAGGUGGCUACAGGGCUCAGGGGUGAGACCACACAACCCAGUUGUCUCAUCUCCUUCCAAACUUAGUCUCAGAUUUGGGGUCCUCCACGUCUUCACCUGGUAUCAAAUGCUUGUUAACGUCACAGCCACCAUGCGGCAAUCACGCGUGUGUUUUCAUCCUCCCGAUGGCCUGUGAGUCCAGCAGCGGCCCGUUUUAUUUUUCAUUCAGAAACCUGAGAGGUGAAAGCUGAGUCACUUUUCCAAAGUCACCGAGUGGCUCAGUUGCAGGGCCAGAACAAAAACCAGGGCUCGGGCCAGUCCCUCCACCUCUGCCUUCCAGCCAGAGUGUCCAGGGACAGCAGGAGCAGCUGUGUGGGGAAAUUGCAGUGACACAUGCGCAAAGCAAAACAUGAUCAAAUUAAAGAAAUGCAAUUCCCAAAUAAAAAUUCUCCGCAAAGUAACACAAGGAGAGAAAACCAAACACCGCAUGUUCUCACUCAUAAGUGGGAGCCGAACAAUGAGAACACUUGGACACACGGAGGGGAACAUCACAUACCGGGGCCUGUCGGGGGCUGGGGGGCUGGGGGGCUGGGGGAAGGAGAGCAUUAGGACAAAUACCUAAUGUAAAUGACAAGUUGAUGGGUGCAACAACCAACAUGGCACAUGUAUACCUGUGUAUCCAGUCUGCAGUGGUGCACAUGUACCCCAGAACUUAAAGUAUAAUAAUAGAAAAUAAAUAAAGGGAAAUUAAAUAAGAAAAAAAAAGAAACUCCAGUACGUUAAAAGAAAAUACCUUAAAAUAUCCUCCAGACAGCCCAGUGCCCGUGGGUUUCUCUGGUGUCCGACCUCACAGGAUAAUUUUUGUGCCUUACAUGUCACAGAAGCAGUUAUAAUCAGAGACGGAGGGCGCUUCUCAUCUUUGGGAGAUGCUGAAAGGCCAGUGUCCACCGGCCCUGACAUUUCAUUUCCGCCCCCGUUUUCCUGUAAAGAGACAGAGGAAACGGGACAGCGGCCUUCGGGGUCAGCAUUCGGGAGCUGCCUGGUGGCAGGCGAGGACCCGAGGCAUUAGCGGCGUCUUCAGCUCCUGGGCCUGCUGAGCUCUGACCCACCCUCGGGUGGCUCAGAGGUGGCCGGUUCACUUCGAGAAGCCCAGGGAACAGAUUCUUCCUGAAUGAGUUUCAGAGAACAAUCUGCACUCUGGCAGCUUCCCAGCAGCUGCAAGUGGAGGUGGGAGGAGACCCGAGGUCGGGAGUCUCUAAAGUGUUUGCCUUUUUCACUCUUGAUGGAGAAAAGCCCAGAUGUGACUGUGGUUGGACGAGGUCCUGUCACAUGGCAUGUGUGGGCUCUGGGCUCACAUGGCUAUUCCGGGGGCAUCCAGGGUACUUAGGGGUCGCCCUUUAGCCUUCAGAGAGCUGCCUGGGAAGUGCUCACCUUGCGCAUAGCUGUGGCCCCUCCAGCUGCAGGAUUCCCC
Long non-coding RNA from Macaca mulatta (Rhesus monkey), 2476 nucleotides. The record is from Ensembl. NCBI's taxonomy places the organism in Eukaryota, Metazoa, Chordata, Mammalia, Primates, Cercopithecidae.